Molecule: ribosomal RNA, 423 nt
Filed under: uncultured bacterium
Lineage: Bacteria
Description: bacterial SSU rRNA
Rfam family: Bacterial small subunit ribosomal RNA
Source: RNAcentral
GAUGGCGACCGGCGCACGGGUGAGGUAACGCGUAUCCAACCUUCCCAUGUCCACGGGAUAGCCCGUCGAAAGGCGGAUUAAUACCGUAUGAGGUCACAUGCGGGCAUCUAAGUGUGACGAAAGGUUUUGCGGACAUGGAUGGGGGAUGCGUCCGAUUAGCUGGUUGGCGGGUAACGGCCCACCAAGGCGACGAUCGGUAGGGGUUCUGAGAGGAAGGUCCCCCACAUUGGAACUGAGACACGGUCCAAACUCCUACGGGAGGCAGCAGUGAGGAAUAUUGGUCAAUGGGCGAGAGCCUGAACCAGCCAAGUAGCGUGCAGGACGACGGCCCUAUGGGUUGUAAACUGCUUUUAUAAGGGAAUAAAGUGAGUCUCGUGAGACUUUUUGCAUGUACCUUAUGAAUAAGGACCGGCUAAUUCCGUG